Molecule: RNA transcript, 1381 nt
Organism: Girardinichthys multiradiatus
Lineage: Eukaryota; Metazoa; Chordata; Actinopteri; Cyprinodontiformes; Goodeidae
Gene: vegfd
Gene name: vascular endothelial growth factor D
Exons: 8
Source: RefSeq, a predicted model, not a curated record
GCUCGGUCUCAAAUACACACACUCACACGCUCUGCAUGCAGCUGGACGAUCAAGAGUUUUUUUUAAGCACAAAUGUAUUCUGAGAGGACAGAGUGUGUGGUCUGAGGGACUCAACUGGUCCAGCAUUUGGAGAGGCAGCCAACUCUCAGAGCUUUUACAGCACUGUUGAGAGAAAACAAGGAGCGUCGGCUGUUAAUGAUGAGGAUGCAAUGGAGUCUGUGCAGGAUCAUUUUCUUGGUGACUUUUUUGUUGGAGCUCGGCUGGAUAAACAUAGGAUAUAGCAUGCACAGGGAGGGAUACAACAAGCGGGUUAGGAGACAGUGGGAGAGGCAGGUCCGCACAUCCUCCAGUUUGGACGAGCUACUGCGACUCGCACAUUUCCCUGACUGGAAGCUGUGGAAGUGUCGUUUAAGGCUGCAGCCACCACAAGUCAAUGCAGAGCCCUUCUCCUUUCCGCCUCUGGUUGGAUCGCACCGCUCCACACGCUACGCUGCUGAGUCUUACAGCCUGGAGAUACUCAAAGCCAUAGAUGAGGAGUGGCAGAGUACUCAGUGUAUGCCCAGAGAGACAUGCGUCGAUGUGGCCAACGAGCUGGGGACCGACCCCUCGAUUUUCUUCAAGCCACCCUGUGUAUCUGUCUACAGGUGUGGUGGCUGCUGCAACCAGGAGGGCAUCACUUGCAGAAAUACGUCUACUGUAUAUGUGAAUAAAACGGUCCUCAGUAUAAUACCUUUUAAAUUUGUACCGGAACCCAUGCUGAUAAAAGUAGCAAACCAUACUACUUGCAGAUGCAUGGAGCCUGCAAUAAUUCGACGUAACGCUCAGCAACACAGGACCAGUGGCUGCCCUCUGAUGGGACAGAUGUUGGAAGCUCGGGACUCCAGGAGACUUUGUGCCAGUGGGUGGAUUUGGGAUUGUUCAAGUGAAAGAUGCAUACCUUACCCUUCCAGUACACCAGAGCUUCCCCUCAGUUCCUGGUUGUCGGACUGUGAGAUAGACGUGGAGCGCUGUGAAUGUCUGCCCAGACCGGAGCCAAUUCUCCAGCCGAGACCGCUGUAAUCCAAACUCUUCCAUGAGACCCCAAUGUUUUGAUAAAGCCUCAUGCAGGUAGAGAUGCAAACUCCUCAAGUAGAGCUUCACUGGAGAUAUACAUUACGACAAGCUGCUCAACAAAGAGCAAUGACAAAUAUAAAAUGUCCUAUAAUUUAUUUACAGUCCUAUUUAUGCAGAUUACUUUACUUAUAUUAACUAAUUUGACCAUGUUAAUUGAUUGGUUUAACAAGAAUGGAUUAGGUUUUAAUCAAAGUGUACAAUUUUACCUUCUUUCUUUGUGCACUGAAUUUUUAGUAUUUACAAUAAAGAUUAUUUUUAUAAUUCAAAA